This 69-nucleotide transfer RNA is filed under the name Rattus norvegicus (Norway rat). It matches the Rfam family "tRNA". From Rfam's summary of the family: Transfer RNA (tRNA) molecules are approximately 80 nucleotides in length. The record is from Rfam by way of RNAcentral. Lineage: Eukaryota; Metazoa; Chordata; Mammalia; Rodentia; Muridae.
GGGGAUUUAGCUCAGUGGUAGAGCGCUUCCCUAGGAAGCGCAAGGUCCUGGGUUCGGUCCCCAGCUCCA